GACGAACGCUGGCGGCGUGCUUAACACAUGCAAGUCGUACGGUAAGGCCCUUUCGGGGGUACACGAGUGGCGAACGGGUGAGUAACACGUGAGUAACCUGCCCACAACUUUGGGAUAACGCUAGGAAACUGGUGCUAAUACUGGAUAUGUGCUCCUGCUGCAUGGUGGGGGUUGGAAAGCUCCGGCGGUUGUGGAUGGACUCGCGGCCUAUCAGCUUGUUGGUGGGGUAGUGGCCUACCAAGGCGGCGACGGGUAGCCGGCCUGAGAGGGUGACCGGCCACAUUGGGACUGAGAUACGGCCCAGACUCCUACGGGAGGCAGCAGUGGGGAAUAUUGCACAAGGGGCGCAAGCCUGAUGCAGCAACGCCGCGUGCGGGAGAACGGCCUUCGGGUUGUAAACCGCUUUCAGCAGGGACGAAGCUUUUUGUGACGGUACCUGCAGAAGAAGCACCGGCUAACUACGUG
RNAcentral lists this ribosomal RNA (465 nucleotides) under uncultured bacterium. RNAcentral describes it as "partial 16S ribosomal RNA". It matches the Rfam family "Bacterial small subunit ribosomal RNA", at positions 28 to 507 of the family's 1533-position model. The record is from RNAcentral.